Molecule: ribosomal RNA, 1325 nt
Filed under: uncultured bacterium
Lineage: Bacteria
Description: bacterial SSU rRNA
Rfam family: Bacterial small subunit ribosomal RNA
Source: RNAcentral
GGAUGAAUGCUGGCGACGUGCCUUAAGCAUGCAAGUCGAGCGAGAUGGUAGCAAUAUCAUCUAGCGGCGGACGGCUGAGUAACGCGUAGGAAUCUGCCUUAAAGUGCGGGAUACCUCCUCGAAAGAGGAGCUAAUACCGCAUGUGAACGAAAGUUUAAAGGAGCUAACCCUCCGCUUUAAGAUGAGCCUGCGUCCUAUCAGUUUGUUGGUGGGGUAAAAGCCUACCAAGACUAUGACGGGUAGGGGGUGUGAGAGCAUGGCCCCCCAGAAUGGAACUGAGACACGGUCCAUACACCUACGGGUGGCAGCAACUGGGAAUCUUCGACAAUGGGCGAAAGCCUGAUCGAGCGACGUCGCGUGGGGGAUGAAGGCCUUCGGGUUGUAAACUCCUUUUGCUAGAGAACAAUCUAAUUGAGUUAACCUAGCGAAUAAGCACCUGCAAACUACGUGCCAGCAGCAGCGGUGAUACGUAGGGUGCAAGCAUUAUCCGGAUUUAUUGGGCGUAAAGGGUUGCGUAGGUGGUUUAGUAAGUCUUUUCUUAAAGACCCUGGCUUAACUAGGGUACUGGAGCAGAUACUGCUAGACUUUGAAGAAGUGAGAGGUCAGCGGAACUUAUGGUGGAGCAGUGAAAUGCGUUGAGAUCAUAAUGAACACCGAUGGCGUAGGCAGCUGACUGGCACUUUCUUGACACUGAGGCACGAAAGCUAGGGGAGCGAAAGGGAUUAGAGACCCCUGUAGUCCUAGCCGUAAACGAUGGACACUAGAUGACGGGCCUUAUAAGUUCGUUGUCGCAAGCUAACGCGUUAAGUGUCCCGCCUGGGGAGUACGAACGCAAGUUUAAAACUCAAAGGAAUUGACGGGGGACCGCACAAGCGGUGGAGCAUGUGGUUUAAUUCGAUACAAAGCGAAAAACCUUACCUGGGUUUGAAAUGUACCUGCAAAUCCUACGAAAGUAGGACUUCUUCGAGAGUGGUACACAGAUGCUGCAUGGUUGUCGUCAGCUUGUACCGUGAGGCGCACCCUUAAGUGGGUCAACAAGCGCAACCCUUGCCAUUAGUUGCUAACAGGUUAAGCUGAGAACUCUAAUGGGACUGCCAUCGUAAGAUGCGAGGAAGGUGGGGAUGACGUCAAAUCAGCACGGCCCUUACGUCCGGGGCGACACACGUGUUACAAUGGGUGGUACAGAGGGUUGCUACCUGGUGACAGGAUGCUAAUCUCUUAAAUCCACUCUCAGUUCGGAUCGAAGUCUGCAACUCGACUUCGUGAAGCUGGAUUCGCUAGUAAUCGCGCAUCAGCCAUGGCGCGGUGAAUACGUUCCCGGGCCU